Molecule: unclassified non-coding RNA, 849 nt
Filed under: Hevea brasiliensis (rubber tree)
Lineage: Eukaryota; Viridiplantae; Streptophyta; Magnoliopsida; Malpighiales; Euphorbiaceae
Source: RNAcentral
GAAUUAAAUGUCAUUAAUCUGUUGCUUCAGAAUAUUGAUGUUUGUUCAUUCAAAUAGCAUAGCAACAGAAUACAGGCCAUUACUAGAAUAGGAGGUUAGAGUUUUACAUUUACGAGUGAAAUUUUUUUCAGGAUCUUUGGGCAGUAGUUAGGAUAAGUUUGACAUUAGGAAAUGCCUGUGAUGUUAAAAUCUUGUGGAGUCAGCUGUCAGAGGGAUGUGGAGAUCUACAUAUUUUUAUUUGGCAUCAAGGGCUUUCUAUGUCUCUCAUGUAUCUCAGUUGGAGCUAUUUGCUUGCACAUUCAUUUUAAGUAUGUGCUUGCAUGUCUUCAUUUUUUGGAUACAAAUUGGUUAUUUAUUAUGUGUUUUCUAUCAUACUAUUUGCAUGAUUUGUUCACCACCUUGGGAGAUUUGGAUUGCAGUAGUGCUAUACAUAGUUUGGUAAGGAUUAUAAUGGUAAGUUGUGUGGUGCUUUGUGGAGUUAGAACUUUGAAGGGCUCAAUCUGUUUGCUAUUUCAGAAACUAUCUGAAAAAAGAGAUGAAAAGGGAGAGCAGAGACUGAGUACCAUCAUCGUCAAUGUUGCCUCGUGUCUUUACUUGAGGAUGGGCUAAUCUUUGUAUGGUGUAAUGUUGAAUGUCAGACAUUGAAAUUGAAUGAGGAGAGAUUAGAAUUUUUUGUUGGCGUUGCAUGUAUUUUUUUGGUGGGAAAUGGAUCAUUCUGGAUAAAUAUUCUGUGCAAUGCUGAAGUUGGUAUGAUGCUUCAGGAUCGUAUUUUAUAGUGAAUUAUAGGCCUAUUUGUGUUUCCUGUGGCUUGUCUGGUAUGUGAUCAAUUUCUAGCAAUGAUGAAUAUUU